AACUCCUUGGAGGAAGAGAAAGAGGAGGGCGGAGGGGGAAAAAAGCAGUUGAGGGCAUGAUAGAUGUAAUGAGUGCGGAUAAAGGCAUCAGUGCAGGUCUGUGGUCUGUGGAGCAGACCGAUUCAAAACACUCUUCAAAGAGUUUUCAUCGUCUGGGGAGGUGGGGACGGCGGAGGACUGGAGGGACUCGGCCGAGGUGGGGGACUUUCCUCCACUCUCUCCCCAGCGGCGGUGCACGUCGAGCGGCUGCAGCCGGGGCCACCAAGGCCCCCUUUGUGCCGGUUAUCACCAGGUGGUGAGUGAUGGCACCGUGGCCUCCCGCUCUCAGAGAGGCAGCAGGGCUCAGAGGGGAGGAGGAGGAGAAGGUGCAGGAGUGGAGCAGCCUGGAAUGUUCCCAGAAGAGACGGAGGGCGCGAAAGAGAGGAAAAGAAAGGCAAGAAAAAGAAAGAGGCUGUUUGAAGAGACGGCAGCGCUGGAGUUGUAGCAUCUGUACCUGUCUCACAGGUGCACCGAGGAGGAAUGUGCUUUGCUGUGAUGACUCAAUAGGGCUUGAACCAUCAAUGAAAUAGCAAAGAGAAAAAAAACUUCUAACAGUGUGGGAAUUGUCAGGAUUUCACUCAUUAUCUUUCUAGUUCAUCUCAUAACCUUGUUUUAUUUGACAGGCUCCAAUUUAACAAGCUGAUGUCAUCUGAGUUCUAACUAGCUGCGCGUUUCCUGCUAUGAUUUCAUGUCUUGACUCAAUUAUGCUAACUGAGACACAGUCGUGAGCGCUGAGUGACGGACAAACGUCAAGACGGUGAGCGGACGUCGAAACACAUCUGAGUCACUGGAUAUUGGAAACUGCCUGGACGACGCAAGGGGUCAAAAGUCAGUUUGCCUCCCCACCUUCUCCCACGCUCCCUCCAUGGCUGACACACCUGUUCUCUCCCCAGCACCCACAUCCCUUUUGCCUUCAGUCUCUGUCAUAAAGAAGUAUGAACACACACAGAUACCAGUGUCACAGACAUCUUUCUCUCUCUCUCUCUCUCCCACACACACACACACACACACACACACACACA
This is a long non-coding RNA of Amphiprion ocellaris (clown anemonefish), 1061 nucleotides long. RefSeq lists it as uncharacterized. Lineage: Eukaryota; Metazoa; Chordata; Actinopteri; Pomacentridae. The record is from RefSeq and is a predicted model, not a curated record. The transcript has 2 exons.